RNAcentral lists this long non-coding RNA (2249 nucleotides) under Sus scrofa (pig). RNAcentral describes it as "lncRNA (ENSSSCG00000062968.1)". Lineage: Eukaryota; Metazoa; Chordata; Mammalia; Artiodactyla; Suidae. The record is from RNAcentral.
GGAGGUGAUGUCAUCCUUGGGUUGGAACGGCAUCAUUUUAGAGUCUGACGGAACCUCAAAGAUCAUGUUGCUGAGUUCCCGUCUUGCGUGGUCCUCCCUUCCAGAAAUUCCUAGAAGUUGGCUGGUUCGCCUUGGCCUGAUUCUUAGAAAGGUCUUCCAUACGUUCAGCUGACAUUGAACUCACAGAAAUGUCUUCCAUUAACCCCGACUCAGCCAUUUACAGCAGCGCGAGACUCGUCUUCUCCCUCUUCCCCAGGAGGGCAACUGUGUUUUUGAUGCCAGUUGUGCUUUUCUUUUUUUCUUUUUUUCUUUUUUUCAAUUUUAUUUUCCCACUGUACAGCAAGGGGAUCAAGUUAUCCUUACAUGUAUACAUUACAUUUUUUUUUCCCCACCCUUCGUUCUGUUGCAGCAUGAGUAUCUAGACAUAGUUCUCAGCAGGUGCUUUUCUUGAUACAGUCAAAGGUCUCCACUUUUAAAAAAGAGCCUCUGGGUUUUGUUUAUAUCAUUCGGAUGUUGUUCUUGCUUAGAGAGGCCUCACCCACUCUGAGGUUAUUUUUUGAAAGUUUUCCUCAUAUUUUCUUCUCAUACUGUAAUAGAUUUGCUUUUAUGUUUAACUCUUCGAUCCUUCGGGAAUUCAUUUUGCUGUAAGACGUGCGGGUGGAGGUACACUUUCAUUUUUUUUCCCGGUUAGCUACCCGAUUAUUCCAACACCAUUUAUUAAAUUAUUCAUUUUCUCCCACUGAUGUGAAAUGCCAUUAUAUUAAAUGCAUGAUUUACUUCCGGACUUAUUCCCAGGAUCUUUCAUAGGUUUUGCUGCCAGGCAAACUGUCACACAUCUUAUAUACAUUCAUUAUUGAAAUUUUUAGCUUAAGUGUAAAAUUUUUCCUACACUUAUUAUAGUUCAGCGUGCGACCUGUCCUCCGGCCUGUCAAGAUGGCCUGGUUCUUUCUUUUUGCACCAGCAGCCUCUUGUUUUAUUCCACCUGCAGAUUAACAAGCAUCUCUUUCAUGUCGUUAUUCAGGCCAGGGGUUAAGAGAGAGCGACAAAACUGCUGGUCAGUGUAGGGCUGUCCUUUGAGCUCAGUGGGCAGCCGCUGCUCACGUUCCUGUAUCAUGUUGUGUUACAAAGAGCUUAGCAUUUUCUGUGCACAAGAAAUAACCUGAGAGGAUUUCCCGUCAUGGCUUAGCGGUAAUGAAGCUGACUAGCAUCCAUGAGGACGUGGGUUUGAUCCCUGGCCUCACUCAGUGGGUUGAGGAUCCCGCGUUGCUGUGGCUGUGGCGUAGGCCAGCAGCUGUAGCUCCGAUUGGACCCUAGCCUGGGAACCUCCAUGUGCCACGGGUGCGGCCCUAAAAAAAAUUAAUGAAAGAGUAACUUGAGAAUCUUGUUAACCUGCAGAUUCUGAUUCAGUGGUCCUGGAGUUAGGCCACGAUUCUGUAUUUCUAAAAAGGCUCCAGACUGUGCUGGUGCUGCUGGUCCAUGGACUCACCCAAUACAAGCCCAAGACCAGGAUGAGUCCAGCGAGAUGCCCUGAAUGUGACAUUUAAGGAGGCACAUACAGUCAGGUUUGCUCAGGUGGCAGUCUUGCAUUUGCUUGCACCUGAGGGUAAGUACUUCCCUAAAUGUGCCCUGGGUGCCUUCUAAUCCCAGCCCCGAUGUCACGUUUCUUAGAAUUGCUAGAAUCACUCCUGAUGAACCUAAUAGGACUCCUGGGUGGUGAGACCUUACUAUCUUCCUUUUAAAACAAAUUCCCCUGGUGAUUCUCAGGCCUGCCAAAGCUUGAGAAGCACUGACGACAAAAUUUAGAAGUUCUGACUUUGAGGACUAGUUUCUUAAGUAAGUCCUGUUGAGACAUUAAUGCUGACGACCUGAGAACAUCCCCGUACCCUUUGCCUUCAGUGCGUGUGGUGUGCUAAACCCCGACACUGGCGAUGGUUGCUUAGGUAGCGUCAAGCCACAGAUGAAGGAAAGCCUCCUCGUAUCUGACAAAGCAGCCUCCACCCUGUUCUAAUGAACUGUAACAUGGAGUUCAUUCAGAGUCUAGCUCUUGUAUGUAAUUAAAGCUUACUCGAGGAGUUCCCGUUGCGGCUCCUUGGGCUAAGACCCCGACAUUGUUUCCGUGAGGAUGGAGGGUUGAUCCCUGGCCUCGCUCCGUGGGUUAAGGAUCUGGUGUUGCCACAAGCUUCAGCAUAGGCCUCAGCUGCAGCUCCAAUUCGACCCCUGGACUGGGAACUUCCAUAUGCUGCAGGUGG